GGGACGUCCAGUGCCGUGAGUAUCUGGGUAUUGGGGUCAGAGCUGGAGGCUCAGGGGGGGAGUUCUGGCCCUCGCUGCCUUUGAAGGCUGAGUGGCCAUGCAUAAGCUACUUGACCUCUCUGUUCUUCUUACGUGUCUGGUGGCAGCAGCUGGGCUGUGGAGGAGAAGCAGGCAUGGGUGUGGGGUAAGGAGAGGUCCAAGGGGAGGUCUGAUCCUUUUGGCAUCAGGAAGCCAGGCCUAGCACUGAUCAGUUCUGUGACCACAAGCACAUUGUUUAACCUCUCUGAACCUCAGUAUCCUCAUCUGUAAUCUACUCCAUAUAGUUAUUGCAAGAACUCAAAUGAAACCAACAGAAUGAGCCUCACAGGACGGCUGCCACUGAGCACGCUCAGAAACCCACGGGGCUGCCCUUGGCAUUGCUGUUACUUUCACCAUUACUGACCCUCAUAACAGCCCACAAGCGGGCAGCAAGACCCCCAUCUCCGUUGCACAGACAAGGACUCUCAAACUAGAGCGGGGAAGCGUUUCCCUGGGUCACAGAGUUCCAAAGGACAGGUCACCUAGCCCCCAGGUCAGCUGGCCCUCGGGCUGAGAAUCUGAAGGUCUUUUUUGAUAGCAGAUGUUGGUAGCUGAAGACUUCGUUUAUUUUUGUUUUGUUUUUGUACUGAGGAUUGAACCCAGGGGUGCUCUGCCACUGAGCCCUUUUAUUUAUUGAUUGAUUGAUUUUUGUUUUGAGACAGAGUCUCUCUGAGUUGCUGAAACUGGCCUCCAACAUGUGAACCCUCCUGCCUCAGCCUCCUGACUCACUAGGUCUAUAGGUGUGCACCGCCAUGCCCGGCUAACUAACGGCUGAAUAAUAACCAUACCCACUCUAGGCUAAGUACUUUGUACUCUUUAGUUCCCACGAUGGCCUUCUGAGCAGCCCCCGUCAUUAACCCCACUUUCCAGAUACAGAAAUGGAGGCAGGUGGUCCCUCCGGCCUGGAGUCUGCACGUUCUCCUCCAUCCUGGCCCCUCCCUCCCUGCCCUCCCCAGCUCUCCCUGGAAGGAGGAGACGCUGCAGCCAGCUUGUGGCUCCCGUGGCCCCUCACCACCGUUCCACUCGUCCUCUCCAGCCCUGCGUGUGCACUCAUUCUGCGGCGGUCUCAUCCCUGUCCCCCAGCCCCGGCCACCCGUUCUGUUCAGUGCUCUCCCUCCAGGACCAGCCCUGUGGGUGUGGGGUGGGUGCUCCAUAUUUGUGUAGUGGGUGGGUGACAGUAGGCAAGGACCAAGACACACAGGGAGUCCCAUGGCUUUGGGGGCACCUCCAAGCUGAGCAGGGACUGGGCGGCCUUCCAGGGCCCCUGGACCAGGUCUUGUCUGGGCUUCCCCGGCAGCGGCUCAACGGCCCCCUCCUCCACCCACAGCCCACACGGGGAGCUGGUGCGAGCAGCAGCUGUGUGCCUGUGACAAGGAGGUGGCCUUCUGCCUGAAGAGCAACCUCGACUCCUACAACAAGCUCCUGCGUUUCUACUGGCGGUCCCGCUGCCAGGACCCCACUCCUUCAUGCUAGAAGCCCAACUCGCUUCCCCUGCCAUCCUUCCCCAUCUCAGGGCAUUGCCGUGGUCCCGCCCUGGCAUCUAACCAGCUGGAUUUUAAAACAGUCCAGGGGGAAGGGCCCCUCGCCCUUGCUGGGCCCGACCUCUGGACUCUCCCACCCAAGGCAGUGCCGGCUCCCCUGAGGGUGGGCGGAGGCCAGGGAGCACCCAGGACCAUGAGGUUGGGCCAAAGCAGUCAGGGGAGGGGUGCUGGGGGGUCGAGGCAGCUGUGUGGGCCUGGCUCCCUGCCACUGCCACCCCUGCUGGUCCCUCUCACCUACCCCAAGCCACAGCCUGAGUGGCUGCUGUAAAGCGCAAUGUUGAUCAUCCUGUCCGAGUGACUCUUGAAACCCCCAGGUCCUCCACGGCCCCAGCAUAGAGCCCCUCAGAGCCCGGCCGUCAGGCCCCAUGUCCCUCUUCCCAACUGGGCCCCAGAGAGUCCAGCCCCUCUCCCCAAGCUGCACCCCAGAGCAGCCUCAGAACAGAGCAGGCCUCCACAAACUCUGAGGACAGGGUGGGAGGAGGCCAUGAUGGGAGGAGGCCGCGGCUCUUGUAGCCCCAGGCUCCCUCCUGGAAGCCUGCUGCUUCCUGCCUCUGGCACUUGCUCAGGGUCCUCCUGCAGAAAUGGCCCUGUGGCCCCCUCCUCCUGGAUGGCCUCCCUGGGCCUCUCAGGGAGAAAGGGCUGCUUCCUAGGAGAGUCUUCCUGGCUCAUCUCUCCUCCCUCCAGGGCUCACGGGCACCUCCUGGCUCCCCUGGCCCUGGCUGGGGCUUCCCAUGAGGGGUGAAUGGGACUCCUCCCCGUCCCCAGCCAGACAGGCGCACCUCAAGGACACAGACCACGUCCGCCUCAUCUGUGUUUCCUCGGCUUCCCACGGGCUCCGUGCUCAGUUACUGUUGGGGAUCAGAUGAGCUAAUCAUGAACACUCUGGAGAGGGGCUGGAGAGGAUGUUGGUGUCCCAUCCAGAUCCCUCCCGGACUCAGGACUCCACUCCCAACCAAGCCAGGUAUUGGCUGCAAAGCCCCCACAUCUGCCCUCCUUCUCUUCUUUUCUGGGAGUUUCCUGGCCCUGCACCCCCCCACCCCACACACACCCAAGGAGGCCACCUGUGACUGACCAAAGUUCAACACCCUGGAGGGCACAGCUGCCUGGCCCCCCUGCCUCCAUGCAGGACCAUCUGGGUCAGUGCCCAGAGUUCCUCGGGGGAUCAGGGUGGUAGGAAGCCCCAGAGACUUCUGGAACCACCUCUCCUCCCUGCCUCUUCUGCUGGCCUGGCCUGUUCUCCUGGUUCUCUGCAGCUUUCUCCAGAGACAGCCCUCGGUGAGAAACUUACACAGGAUCCUCAUCUGGGCUCUGCUUCUGGGGAAACACACAUUUAGGCAGAUGGCUUUUUCUUAUAAGGAUCCACAAUCCGUCCUUCGUAUAUGAUGAGCUGUGUGUCCAGCCACGGGGCCAGCUGAGGCACCUGGGGCUCCCCACACUGUGGCCUGUGUCACACACUCGGGCAAUGACCUAUGGUACAGGUUUCCCGAAACUCAGUAGGUCGAGCGAGGCAGUGUGAGAGGAAUUAAAAACUAUAGGCUCUGGGUCCAAAUUAUCAUUCUACGCCCACUCCUGUGAGGGACAGUGAUGGUAGAGGGGACAGGAGGUUGCUAAAUCUCCAUUCUUUCCCACCCAAAUUUGCUGUGAACCCCCCCAAAAAAUCUAUUUUAAAACAUUCCAGUGCUGUCUCUGACUAUCCAUGUGC
This 3321-nucleotide long non-coding RNA is filed under the name Marmota monax (woodchuck). Lineage: Eukaryota; Metazoa; Chordata; Mammalia; Rodentia; Sciuridae. The record is from RNAcentral.